This 2814-nucleotide long non-coding RNA is filed under the name Homo sapiens (human). RNAcentral's name for it is "HSALNT0248640". Lineage: Eukaryota; Metazoa; Chordata; Mammalia; Primates; Hominidae. The record is from RNAcentral.
UCACUAUGUUGCCCAAGCUGGUCUCAAACUCCUGGCCUCAAGAGAUCCUCCCAUCUUAGCCUCCCAAGUAGCUGGGAUUACAGGUGUAAGCCACAGCACCUAGUCCUUACACUCCCAGUUUUGAUGCCAAUCUGUCUUUGGGUAGUUGGACAGUUCUCACCAAGUGUGAGAGUUUCCUUUAGAUGUCACUGUGGUUAUGGUAAAUCUGAGAGGGGUGAAGAUGACCACAUGAAGCUGACAAAAUGCCACACAGAAUUCUCUGAAGGGGCUGACCGAUGGGCAUCACAUCCCUCUCUCCCUGUCCAAAGAAAAUUAUGUAUUAAGCACCAAAUUGUACAUGAUUCUGUACAGGGAGAAUUGUAUUAUCCCAAUACCUUCUCUCCUAGGAUAUUUUCACCUUAGGCUUUAGCUUACCCCUUUGUUUUAAAAAAAUUACAGUUGCACGCCACCACACCUGGCUAAUUUUUGUAUUUUUGGUAGAGACAGGAUUUCGCCAUGUUGGCCAGGCUGGUCUUGAACUCCUGACCCCAGGUCAUCCACCCACAUUGGCCUCCCAAGGUGCUGGGAUUACAGGCAUGAGCCACCACGCUUGGCCCAGAAUUUUCAAGUGUAUUGUAGUGAGAGGCCGGCAGAGUUCAGGCUUUUAAGUCUGCAAUGUCUGUGUGAUUAUCUCUUCAACUAAAGUGUAAGUCUCCAUGUAUAUUUCUUUGCUUUAUACACAUAACACCUAAAUCUGUGCCAAGUGCAUAUCAAAUGAUCAACAAACAUGACAAAUGAAUAACAUUUGUUCUAUUCCUUUCAUAUAAAGAUGGUACUUCUUUAGAGCCUAACUAGCUGUAUGACGUUGGGAAACUUUUAUUUCUCUGAACCUGUUUUCUCAUGUGCAAAAUGGAGAAAAUCCCUCUCUUACAUGGGAGCUAGGAGGAUCAAUAAGCAUUUAAUUCAUCUAGCAUAGUGCCCCCUGGCUAGUGCUCAAUCAUCAUAGUGUGGGCCUGGAGGGCACACACUGAAUGUUUUCUACUUAGUGACAAUGGCUAAGUCUGAUACAUAAAAUAUCCUUCUGUUAUUCAUUGUAAAAUUCUUGCCAACAUUUGUAGCUACAGACUGGAACUAGAGAAGUAAACACUUCUUGAAUGCCUGCUAAGAGCUUCCACAGACAUAUUUUUAACUCCCUCCCAACCUGAUAAAUCAAGUGUUAUUCUUUUUCUUUUCAGAGAACUGCAGGGAGGUUAAAUGACUUUGUAAGCUUGCCCAACAGUGCAGAAAGAUCCGAGAUCUAUCUAACCUAUAUCAGGUACCACAAGCUAAUGAGACCACAAACAAGGGCAUCGGCCCUGGGCAGCAUAGACUUCACAAAUGCCUGACUCCUUGAGGAACCAAGCCAUUCUGAAGACCUCAUAAGCUGUGGCUGAGAUGGUUACCUCAACUUUCAGUCACUCCAAAACAUUGGCAAGGUAUUUUUGCCAACCAUAGUGGAAGAAAAGAGAUCAUGGAAGAGAAAAAAAUAGAGUCACGACAUAUCUCUCCAAAUGCAGAUGAAAAGGAAAGGAGCUGCAACAGCUAAUGUACCAUAUUUGUGAUUGGCCACGUCAAUAUAAGAAGAUAUAUUAGCAAACUGAUUAAGAGCAAGUCAUCAGGCUGGUGCAAUGGUUCACACCUGUAAUCCCAGCACUUCGAAAGGCUGAGGCGGGAGGAUCACUUGAGCUCAGGAGUUCAAGACCAGCCUGGGCAACAUAGUAAGACCCUGUCUUAAAAAAUAAAAAAAUUAUAUAUAUAUUCUUUUUUUUAAAAAAAAGAGCAAGGCAUCAGAUGCAGGCAGCCCUGGGUUUGUAUCCUGGUUCUACCACUCAUUAGUGGAACCAUCUGAAUGAGUUACUGAGCCUUAGUGUCCUUACCUUUAAAAUGGGUAUAAGCAUACUCCUCUCACAAGGUUGUUGUAAGGGUUUAAAUAAAAUACCUAUGAGAUACUUUUAAUAGUGCCUGACAUUUAGUGAGCAUCCAAUACAUGGUAGCUGUACUAACAAUAAAAAUAAUAGAUGACAUGUGAAGUUUUAAGAAUUUACACAUAUUUACUCACUUCUAAUUCAUGACAACCAUAUGAAAUAGAGACUAUUACAGAUGAGAAACUGAGGCACAGAGGGGUUAGGCAACUUGCCCAAGGUCACACAACUAGUAAGCAGCAGAAAUAGAAUGUGAACCCAGGUAGUCGGCCUGCAGAAUCCACACUAUUCUAUACCGCCUGUCAGUCCUCUUGCUGCCAUUGUCAUUUUCAUUGUCAAUAUCACUAAAUGGUGGCAAAACUAGGGGAGGCAGAGACAGUUACAGGCAGGCAAAGAAAACCCACCAGUAGUGACAGCGAACAUCUAGAAACACCCAGCCAAUCCUCACAGAGAGCUUAGAGCCCCUAAGGCUGAAAGGCACCUACCUGCCCACAAUUGGAUCUAUGCUCUAAAAAAAGAUGAAACCAGCUCCAAGCCCCAGGCAGGCUGCAGAACAGCCCCAAGUAUGUAACUCAAUAUAUGUGCUAGGGAUUGCAUUAGGCACCGUGGGAGGUUUCCAAAGAAAUACAACUAGGCCUUAUGGGAGAGACAUGCCAUCCACAUGAAAAGCCGGGCUUAGAGAAAAUCCUUGGCAAAGAUGGCAUGAAGCUAGCCUCGAGACAUUGGGAUGACAGGGGACCAAAGACAGUGCUCAGGUGGGUGCUUGAGGAGUUCCUUUGGUGCUGCCAUCUUACUGGCUUAGUUGAAAAAACAUUGUUUCCCACAGUAGCCCAGCAAGGCAGUAGUUGCAGAAUUAACCGCAACCAGGCCGGGC